UACGGAGGAUCCGAGCGUUAUCCGGAUUUAUUGGGUUUAAAGGGAGCGUAGAUGGAUGUUUAAGUCAGUUGUGAAAGUUUGCGGCUCAACCGUAAAAUUGCAGUUGAUACUGGAUAUCUUGAGUGCAGUUGAGGCAGGCGGAAUUCGUGGUGUAGCGGUGAAAUGCUUAGAUAUCACGAAGAACUCCGAUUGCGAAGGCAGCCUGCUAAGCUGCAACUGACAUUGAGGCUCGAAGGCCAGGGGAGCGA
RNAcentral lists this ribosomal RNA (248 nucleotides) under uncultured Bacteroides sp. Its description in RNAcentral is "partial 16S ribosomal RNA". It matches the Rfam family "Bacterial small subunit ribosomal RNA", at positions 524 to 771 of the family's 1533-position model. The record is from RNAcentral. Lineage: Bacteria; Pseudomonadati; Bacteroidota; Bacteroidia; Bacteroidales; Bacteroidaceae.